RNAcentral lists this unclassified non-coding RNA (142 nucleotides) under uncultured Ascomycota. RNAcentral describes it as "sequence contains ITS1". Lineage: Eukaryota; Fungi; Ascomycota. The record is from RNAcentral.
UCGUGGGGCUUCGGCCCUCUCGAGAUAGAAACCCUUGCCUUUUCGAGUACCCUUCGUUUCCUCGGCAGGCUCGCCUGCCAAUGGGGACCCAACCAAACCCUUUGUAUAAGCAGUAUACGUCUGAAAAUAAUACAAAAUAUUA